UAAAGUUGUGGCAGUUAAAAAGCUCGUAGUUGAAUUUCGGAAUCUGUCCGUCGGUCGGGCUUCACUGUCCGUACUGGUGUGGUGGGUUCUUACCUUCUGAAUAACCAGCAUGCCAUUAAUUUGGUGCGUUGGGGAAGCAGGACUAUUACCUUGAAAAAAUUAGAGUGCUCAAAGCAGGCCAGUGCCUGAAUACAUUAGCAUGGAAUAAUAAAAUAGGNCGGCAUGGUUCUAUUUUGUUGGUUUCUAGGAUCACCGUAAUGAUUAAUAGGG
This 270-nucleotide ribosomal RNA is filed under the name uncultured Acaulospora. RNAcentral's name for it is "partial small subunit ribosomal RNA". It matches the Rfam family "Eukaryotic small subunit ribosomal RNA", at positions 605 to 877 of the family's 1831-position model. Lineage: Eukaryota; Fungi; Glomeromycota; Glomeromycetes; Diversisporales; Acaulosporaceae. The record is from RNAcentral.